UACAGAGGUCCCAAGCGUUGUUCGGAUUCACUGGGCGUAAAGGGUGCGUAGGUGGUGGGGUAAGUCGGAUGUGAAAUCUCCGAGCUCAACUCGGAAAUGGCAUUGGAAACUACCCUGCUUGAGGGUUGGAGGGGGGACUGGAAUACUUGGUGUAGCAGUGAAAUGCGUAGAUAUCAAGUGGAACACCAGUGGCGAAGGCGAGUCCCUGGACAACUCCUGACACUGAGGCACGAAAGCUAGGGGAGCAAACAGG
This 253-nucleotide ribosomal RNA is filed under the name uncultured bacterium. RNAcentral's name for it is "partial 16S ribosomal RNA". It matches the Rfam family "Bacterial small subunit ribosomal RNA", at positions 524 to 776 of the family's 1533-position model. The record is from RNAcentral.